This 1697-nucleotide long non-coding RNA is filed under the name Ananas comosus (pineapple). Its description in RNAcentral is "long non-coding RNA (ACOM_LNC012128)". The record is from RNAcentral. Lineage: Eukaryota; Viridiplantae; Streptophyta; Magnoliopsida; Poales; Bromeliaceae.
UACAGGUUCAGUUGAUUUUGUUUAAUUGGAUAAAUUUGAUUUUGGCAAUGGAAUUAAAGAACUUAUGUUUUCCUUUGAGAUGAAAACGAUUUUCUACUCCUCGUGGUAGCGUGUUUUAAAGAAAAAGGGUUUCCGUGUGGAAAAUGGUUUUGAAAAGAUUUUCUCGUGGUUUUCAGAAAUUAGGAUUUCAAAAUGAGUUUCCAGGUAGGAAACAUUUUAAAACCAAUAGUUGUGGACUUAUGAUUAAAACUCUGAAAGUGAAUUCGAAUGUGAAUGAUGUAUGAAUGUAUGAAUGUAUGGAUGUUUAUAUAUUCAAUUAUGGUGGUUGUAUCAUGUUUAUGUAUCUUGUACUUGUGCAACGCCAUACAAAUACAGGGGAGAUUCUGUCGAUGUGAACAGUGAACUCUCUGUAUUUGUGGCGGAUCUGGCAAACCCUGGGGGUCAGGUUUAAAAGAAAAAAAAAUUGGACACUUCUGCAUUGCUUUUAAAUCAAAAAGGGACCCUGGGGCGUGGCAGGCUUGCAUAUAUAUUGCAUCUCUGUGGACCUUGGGUUCAGGCAACACAUUGACUCCUUUGUCGUAUGUUUCGAUCUGGUUGAUCGUUGUUCGGCGUUGUACGCCCUUAUAUCUGGCUUCGGCCAAGGCACCGGUUUCAGCCGACUUUGGCAUUGAGCAUAUCAACAUGACUUAGUCACAGUACUUGGGUGUAUUCAUGACACCAGGUAGGUUUGGCCACCGACCGGAGGUGUACUUAUCCGGAUGGGUCGUCCAGUGGGCGGAUGAAUCAGGUCGGUGCAAGCAUUGUGACAGGCAACGCUUGAGGUCUGCGGACCAAUAUAGCAGGCACCAGAUUGGGUACAGUUUUGAGUUGAUUACCUUGAGGCAUGCUAAGCAUUGUAUUCCUUACAGUAGCCGUUUUAUUACUUGCUUCGUAUCAUAUCUGUUAUAGCUACUGUAGUUCUCUUUCGUAUCACAACAUCUGUAUUUGUUUACUUUACCUCCUUCGGUUUUCGGUGAUUACAACUUGCCUUCGUGGCUCUAUCGUACCCACUGAAAAACUUUGAUUGUGGUUUCUCACCCCCCAUUUUCCCAGGUGGUUCGGGCAAGGAGUUGGCAUUUGGACCGACAGGAGGACGCCCUAGCUAGGCUACAGUAGUGGUCGUCACCCUGUUUAUGUUUUAUUUCUGCAUUUAGUAAAUUAAUAAUUAAAUGGUUCAGUUAGAUGAUCACUAUGAAUAUUUGGAUAUUUGUGAAUUAGUUUGAGUUGAUGAUUUACUAUGAUGCUUGCAAUUGGAGUUUAUGGAUCUUCGGUUUUGGAAUUAUGUAUUUAUACUUUGUGAUUUUCUACCCCUCGAGGUAGUCGGUUUCAAAAUGGAGUUUCCGAGUGGAAAACAGUUUUAAAAAGAUUUUUGAAUGGUUUUUGUCAAUGAUUGGAUAGAGUUUAAAAUAAAGCUUCCGAGUCGGGAGCACUUUUAAUAGGAUGACUAUUGUAUUGUGCAUCGCAUCAUCCAGCGCCUAAGGAGUUUUUAGAGGCAUGCAUCAUUUCUAAGGAUCGCUAGCUGUAUAGAAAUGCAUAGCAUGAAUUGAUUGUGGAUUGGUAAAUGUAGGUUGUUGUUGUGAUCCUGAUGUUGUUGUUGGUAUGCCAUACAAAUAUAAAGGAGACUCUGUCCGAGUAGUUAGAGAAACUUUGUAUUUGUG